This 482-nucleotide ribosomal RNA is filed under the name uncultured bacterium. RNAcentral's name for it is "bacterial SSU rRNA". It matches the Rfam family "Bacterial small subunit ribosomal RNA", at positions 30 to 507 of the family's 1533-position model. The record is from RNAcentral.
AUUGAACGCUGGCGGAAUGCUUUACACAUGCAAGUCGAACGGCAGCACGGGGCAACCUGGUGGCGAGUGGCGAACGGGUGAGUAAUACAUCGGAACGUGCCCAAUCGUGGGGGAUAACGUAGCGAAAGUUACGCUAAUACCGCAUACGAUCUACGGAUGAAAGCGGGGGAUCGCAAGACCUCGCGCGAAUGGAGCGGCCGAUAUCAGAUUAGGUAGUUGGUGGGGUAAAGGCUCACCAAGCCAACGAUCUGUAGCUGGUCUGAGAGGACGACCAGCCACACUGGAACUGAGACACGGUCCAGACUCCUACGGGAGGCAGCAGUGGGGAAUUUUGGACAAUGGGCGCAAGCCUGAUCCAGCCAUUCCGCGUGCAGGAUGAAGGCCUUCGGGUUGUAAACUGCUUUUGUACGGAACGAAACGGUCUGCCCUAAUACGGCAGGCUAAUGACGGUACCGUAAGAAUAAGCACCGGCUAACUACGUG